GCCCUUGUAGCUCAACGGUUAGAGCAGCAGACUCAUAAUCUGUUGGCUGUAGGUUCAAAUCCUACCGAGGGCA
RNAcentral lists this transfer RNA (73 nucleotides) under Acidobacteriota bacterium. RNAcentral describes it as "Acidobacteria bacterium (soil metagenome) tRNA-Ile". It matches the Rfam family "tRNA". Rfam says of the family: Transfer RNA (tRNA) molecules are approximately 80 nucleotides in length. Their secondary structure includes four short double-helical elements and three loops (D, anti-codon, and T loops). Further hydrogen bonds mediate the characteristic L-shaped molecular structure. tRNAs have two regions of fundamental functional importance: the anti-codon, which is responsible for specific mRNA codon recognition, and the 3' end, to which the tRNAs corresponding amino acid is attached (by aminoacyl-tRNA synthetases). tRNAs cope with the degeneracy of the genetic code in two manners: having more than one tRNA (with a specific anti-codon) for a particular amino acid; and 'wobble' base-pairing, i.e. permitting non-standard base-pairing at the 3rd anti-codon position. The record is from RNAcentral. RNAcentral also lists the same sequence under 1 other name. Lineage: Bacteria; Pseudomonadati; Acidobacteriota.